GACGAACGCUGGCGGCGUGCUUAACACAUGCAAGUCGUACGGUAAGGCCCUUUCGGGGGUACCCGAGUGGCGCACGGUGGAGUAACACUUAAGUAACCUGCCCACCACUUUGUGAUAACGCUAGGAAACUGGUGCUAAUACUGCUUAUACGCCCCUCCUCCUUGGUGGGGGUUGGAAAGCUCCGCCGGUUUUGGAUGGAUUCGCGUCCUAUUGGCGUAUUGGUGCGGUGGUGGCCUACCAGGGCAGCAACGGGUAGACGGCCUGCGGGGCUGACCGGCCAUCUUGGGACCGAGAGAAGGCACAGAUGGCUAAGGGAGGAAGUAGGGGGGAAUAUUGCACAAUGGGCGCCAGCCUGAUGAAGAAAGGCCGCGUGCGGGAAGACGGCCUUCGGGUUGUAAAACGGUUUCAGCAGGAAAGAAGCUUUUUGUGACGGUACCUAAAGAAGAAGCACCGGCUAACUACGUG
This 465-nucleotide ribosomal RNA is filed under the name uncultured bacterium. Its description in RNAcentral is "partial 16S ribosomal RNA". It matches the Rfam family "Bacterial small subunit ribosomal RNA", at positions 28 to 507 of the family's 1533-position model. The record is from RNAcentral.